CAGCCGUCGCGGUAAUACCGGCGGCCCGAGUGGCGGUCACUAUUAUUGGGCUUAAAGCGUCCGUAGCCGGGUUGGGAAGUCCUCCGGGAAAUCUGGCCGCUUAACGGUCAGAAUGCCGGAGGAUACUCCCAGCCUAGGGAGCGGGAGAGGCCGAGGGGAUUCCCGGAGUAGGGGGGAAAUCCUAUAAUCCCGGGAGGACCACCUGUGGCGAAGGCGCUCGGCUGGAACGCGUCCGACGGUGAGGGACGAAGGCCAGGGGAGCAAACCGGAUUAGAUACCCGGGUAGUCCUGGCUGUAAACGAUGCGGACUUUGUGUCGGACAAGCUAUGAGCUUGUCCGGUGCCGGAGGGAAACCGUUAAGUCCGCCGCCUGGGGAGUACGGCCGCAAGGCUGAAACUUAAAGGAAUUGGCGGG
This 414-nucleotide ribosomal RNA is filed under the name uncultured microorganism. Its description in RNAcentral is "bacterial SSU rRNA". It matches the Rfam family "Archaeal small subunit ribosomal RNA", at positions 459 to 872 of the family's 1478-position model. The record is from RNAcentral.